RNAcentral lists this ribosomal RNA (253 nucleotides) under uncultured bacterium. Its description in RNAcentral is "partial 16S ribosomal RNA". It matches the Rfam family "Bacterial small subunit ribosomal RNA", at positions 524 to 776 of the family's 1533-position model. The record is from RNAcentral.
UACGGAGGGUGCAAGCGUUAAUCGGAAUUACUGGGCGUAAAGCGUGCGUAGGUGGUUCGUUAAGUCCGUUGUGAAAGCCCCGAGCUUAACUUGGGAAUUGCGCUUGUGACUGGCGUGCUGGAGUGUGGCAGAGGGAGGUGGAAUUCCACGUGUAGCAGUGAAAUGCGUAGAGAUGUGGAGGAACACCGAUGGCGAAGGCAGCCUCCUGGGCCAGCACUGACGCUGAGGCGCGAAAGCGUGGGGAGCAAACAGG